AGAAGCAAUAAGAUUUUCUAUAAUGUUCAGGUUCUAGAGUGUGUGUAUGUGAUUCUUUUGUUUUUUGAAUUGUUUGUUACCUUUGUGGGUGUUUCCUUUUUAGAAGCCAUCUUGGAACCUUGCUAAGGAGGAGGCCCGCCUCAAACCCAGCUCUCUUAUAGAGGGAGCCAUGAUGGCUGAACUUUGAUUGGCUGUGGGUAAAUUGAGAAGGCGGGGAUAACAGUAUAUAGGUGGACUGAUUGCUGUAGUAAGAGUCUGAUGGGAAAGCUGCCAUUUUGUGUUCAGUAUAACCAUGCUCUGAUGGAAGAACCUUAAUAAAUGACCUUUUGUUUUUGCUCCAACCAACUUUGCUGGAUUUUUCCUUCCACACCACACCUCUCAGCACAACAGUGGUGUCAGAAGUGGGAUCUUUACGCUUUUGCUUGAAGGAGGAAAUCAGGCUAAAUGAGAGGAGUAGGACGUGGAAGAACUCGAGGAACAAGGAAAAACCCUCUUUCUGAAAUGGAAGAAAGAGAUAGUGGAGGAACAGCAGAACCAGAUCCAGCACCUGAAGGAGUCAUGUCUGGUGAAGAUGUCUUUGAACCAGUGGUGCGGCCUAAACAGACCACAGUUGGUACUGUGAGUAAAGAACUUUGUGAAACUGACAUCUUUGAUGAAAUAAGAGAAUUUAUGCGACAUUCUAAACGAACCGAAGCAAUUUUGUUUGAACAGAUUAAACAGUUGCGCAGUAACAUGCCAAAGCUGCAAAGUGAUGUAUAUACUGAACUUGAUGAGACGAUUGUACAGACUGAAGUUUCUACAGAAGCAGUUUUCCCAAAGCGAGAGAGCAGAACACUAUCUCAGCUAUUAGCAACAGAGCAAGCCCAAGGAGCCUCUGGUUACCAAGCUGAACCUCGUUAUCCAUCUCAACCACUUCCUGCACAGCCUCAGCUGCGUGGUGCGCAUGAUGUUCCAGGACAAAGAGUGGAACCAACCCGUGGAGGUGAUCCUAGGAUACCUGACUUCAAGGAAGGUGAGGAUCCUGAAAGUUUCUUCAUACGUUUUGAACGCAUAGCUAAAACAUGGGGAUGGCAACCAACUGAAUGGGCUGCUAGAGUGGUCACAUUAUUGACUGGAAAAGCACUGGAGGCCUAUGCUGGUAUGGAUGAAGACCAGUCAGACUCUUAUGAAUCUAUUAAAGCUGCUGUGCUAUCUAAGUUUAAUGUGACAGAAGAGACUUACAGAUACCGGUUUCGAAGCACCAAUGUACCUGUGGGAGAGAGUGUGCAUGAAACCUACAGUCGGAUAAAGGGACUCUACAAGCGAUGGAUGCGGCCUGACAGUCGGAGUAAAGAAGAGAUCGGGGAAACCAUCAUCUUGGAGCAAUAUCUACGUGUGCUUCAUCCAGACGUCCGCACAUGGGUGAAGGAGAACAAUCCAAAGACCGGAGAGGAAGCUGCAGAUCUGGCUGAACGUUACUUGGCUGCUCACAGAGAACCUUCAAAGUCAAGAGUAACUGUGGGGAGACCAAGGUUUGUGGAGGUAAAACCUCCAGAUGCAAUAAAGACUGACAACUUGGACAUGAGGGGUGGUCAAACACAUUGUCCGGUGUUUGGUAGACCUUUUCUCCAGAGUUGGUAUCCCAAAGGAGAUUCUAACUGAUCAAGGUACCAAUUUCAUGUCACAAGUGAUGAAAACUCUUUAUGAUCAACUGGGAGUAAAAGAGAAGUACCACAAGCCUCAACUGGUUUUUCUCCUUUUGAGUUGCUUUAUGGGAGACACGUUAGAGGCCCUUUGGACAUGCU
Cyprinodon tularosa is the source of this 1784-nucleotide RNA transcript. RefSeq lists it as uncharacterized. The transcript is spliced from 3 exons. The record is from RefSeq and is a predicted model, not a curated record. Lineage: Eukaryota; Metazoa; Chordata; Actinopteri; Cyprinodontiformes; Cyprinodontidae.